Molecule: ribosomal RNA, 1448 nt
Filed under: uncultured organism
Description: SSU rRNA
Rfam family: Bacterial small subunit ribosomal RNA
Source: RNAcentral
AACGCUAGCUACAGGCUUAACACAUGCAAGUCGAGGGGCAGCAUGGUCUUAGCUUGCUAAGGCCGAUGGCGACCGGCGCACGGGUGAGUAACGCGUAUCCAACCUGCCUUACACUCUUGGACAGCCUUCUGAAAGGGAGAUUAAUACAAGAUGUUAUCAUGAGUAAGCAUUUUCGCAUGAUUAAAGGUUUACCGGUGUAAGAUGGGGAUGCGUUCCAUUAGAUAGUAGGCGGGGUAACGGCCCACCUAGUCUUCGAUGGAUAGGGGUUCUGAGAGGAAGGUCCCCCACAUUGGAACUGAGACACGGUCCAAACUCCUACGGGAGGCAGCAGUGAGGAAUAUUGGUCAAUGGACGAGAGUCUGAACCAGCCAAGUAGCGUGAAGGAUGAAGGUUCUAUGGAUUGUAAACUUCUUUUAUACGGGAAUAAACGGAUCCACGUGUGGAUUUUUGCAUGUACCGUAUGAAUAAGGAUCGGCUAACUCCGUGCCAGCAGCCGCGGUAAUACGGAGGAUCCGAGCGUUAUCCGGAUUUAUUGGGUUUAAAGGGAGCGUAGAUGGGUUGUUAAGUCAGUUGUGAAAGUUUGCGGCUCAACCGUAAAAUUGCAAUUGAUACUGGCAGUCUUGAGUACAGUUGAGGUAGGCGGAAUUCGUGGUGUAGCGGUGAAAUGCUUAGAUAUCACGAAGAACUCCGAUUGCGAAGGCAGCUUACUAACCUGUAACUGACAUUGAUGCUCGAAAGUGUGGGUAUCAAACAGGAUUAGAUACCCUGGUAGUCCACACGGUAAACGAUGAAUACUCGCUGUAGGCGAUAUACAGUCUGCGGCCAAGCGAAAGCAUUAAGUAUUCCACCUGGGGAGUACGCCGGCAACGGUGAAACUCAAAGGAAUUGACGGGGGCCCGCACAAGCGGAGGAACAUGUGGUUUAAUUCGAUGAUACGCGAGGAACCUUACCCGGGCUUAAAUUGCAACCGAAUAUGGCGGAAACGCUAUAGCUAGCAAUAGCGGUUGUGAAGGUGCUGCAUGGUUGUCGUCAGCUCGUGCCGUGAGGUGUCGGCUUAAGUGCCAUAACGAGCGCAACCCUUGCCGAUAGUUACUAACAGGUCAUGCUGAGGACUCUGUCGGGACUGCCAUCGUAAGAUGUGAGGAAGGUGGGGAUGACGUCAAAUCAGCACGGCCCUUACGUCCGGGGCUACACACGUGUUACAAUGGGGGGUACAGAGGGCUGCUACCACGCAAGUGGAUGCCAAUCCCAAAAACCUCUCUCAGUUCGGAUUGAAGUCUGCAACCCGACUUCAUGAAGCUGGAUUCGCUAGUAAUCGCGCAUCAGCCACGGCGCGGUGAAUACGUUCCCGGGCCUUGUACACACCGCCCGUCAAGCCAUGGGAGCCGGGGGUACCUGAAGUGCGUAACCGCAAGGAGCGCCCUAGGGUAAAACUGGUGACUGGGGCU